GCGCGCGCAGGCGGUUCCUUAAGUCUGAUGUGAAAGCCCCCGGCUCAACCGGGGAGGGUCAUUGGAAACUGGGGAACUUGAGUGCAGAAGAGGAGAGCGGAAUUCCACGUGUAGCGGUGAAAUGCGUAGAGAUGUGGAGGAACACCAGUGGCGAAGGCGGCUCUCUGGUCUGUAACUGACGCUGAGGCGCGAAAGCGUGGGGAGCGAACAGGAUUAGAUACCCUGGUAGUCCACGCCGUAAACGAUGAGUGCUAAGUGUUAGAGGGUUUCCGCCCUUUAGUGCUGCAGCAAACGCAUUAAGCACUCCGCCUGGGGAGUACGGCCGCAAGGCUGAAACUCAAAGGAAUUGACGGGGGCCCGCACAAGCGGUGGAGCAUGUGGUUUAAUUCGAAGCAACGCGAAGAACCUUACCAGGUCUUGACAUCCUCUGACAACCCUAGAGAUAGGGCGUUCCCCUUCGGGGGACAGAGUGACAGGUGGUGCAUGGUUGUCGUCAGCUCGUGUCGUGAGAUGUUGGGUUAAGUCCCGCAACGAGCGCAACCCUUGAUCUU
This 551-nucleotide ribosomal RNA is filed under the name Mesobacillus boroniphilus. Its description in RNAcentral is "bacterial SSU rRNA". It matches the Rfam family "Bacterial small subunit ribosomal RNA", at positions 565 to 1112 of the family's 1533-position model. The record is from RNAcentral. Lineage: Bacteria; Bacillati; Bacillota; Bacilli; Caryophanales; Bacillaceae.